Molecule: ribosomal RNA, 462 nt
Filed under: uncultured Pelotomaculum sp.
Lineage: Bacteria; Bacillati; Bacillota; Clostridia; Eubacteriales; Desulfotomaculaceae
Description: bacterial SSU rRNA
Rfam family: Bacterial small subunit ribosomal RNA
Source: RNAcentral
GCACAAGCGGUGGAGCAUUGUGGUUUAAUUCGACGCAACGCGAAGAACCUUACCAGGGCUUGACAUCCCCUGACCGCGUAUGAAAGUACGUUUUCACCCUCGGGUGACAGGGAGACAGGUGGUGCAUGGUUGUCGUCAGCUCGUGUCGUGAGAUGUUGGGUUAAGUCCCGCAACGAGCGCAACCCCUACGUUUAAUUGCUAACGCGUGAAGGCGAGCACUCUAGACGAACUGCCGUUGACAAAACGGAGGAAGGUGGGAUGACGUCAAAUCAUCAUGCCCCUUAUGUUCUGGGCUACACACGUGCUACAAUGGCCGGUACAGACGGACGCAAAGCCGCGAGGUGGAGCAAAUCCUAAAAAGCCGGUCUCAGUUCGGAUUGCAGGCUGCAAUUCGCCUGCAUGAAGUCGGAAUCGCUAGUAAUCGCAGGUCAGCAUACUGCGGUGAAUACGUUCCCGGGCCUU